This 253-nucleotide ribosomal RNA is filed under the name uncultured bacterium. RNAcentral describes it as "partial 16S ribosomal RNA". It matches the Rfam family "Bacterial small subunit ribosomal RNA", at positions 524 to 776 of the family's 1533-position model. The record is from RNAcentral.
UACGAGGGGGGCAAGCGUUGUUCGGAAUUAUUGGGCGUAAAGGGUAGGUAGGUGGUCUCAUUUGUCAGGGGUGAAAGCCUUGGGCUUAACCCAAGAAGUGCCCUUGAAACGGUGAGACUGGAGUCUUGGAGAGGGUCGUGGAAUUCCCAGUGUAGCGGUGAAAUGCGUAGAGAUUGGGAGGAACACCAGAGGCGAAGGCGGCGACCUGGACAAGUACUGACACUGAACUACGAAAGCGUGGGUAGCAAACAGG